GCCCAACAUGGCUGGAGCGCGGCGGAGGUGAGCCGGCCGCCCGCAGACGCCCCAGCCUACUGUGC
This is a microRNA precursor of Chlorocebus sabaeus (green monkey), 65 nucleotides long. The record is from Ensembl. Lineage: Eukaryota; Metazoa; Chordata; Mammalia; Primates; Cercopithecidae.